GUGGAACAACAAAAGAGAGCCUGCUGCAUUCUUUCUAAGCAAACAAAAAGCAUAAUUGGAAAAAAUCAUUUUUAUGUUCUCUUACGUUAGAUGGGACCACUGAGUGAAACAUCCACUGAUGAAUUACUCCUCUAAUCUGUAGAGGAAAAACAGCUACUGGCAAAUUAAAGAGUCCUGGAACAGAGCCAUGAGAACUAAAUGGCUAAAAAUGAAAACAGGCAAACAUUUGAAGAGUAUUCUACAGAACACAGAUCUUUCAACACCUCCCCCUUUUCCAUGGCUAAUUCAUUGUCAUGGAAACUGAAUUUAUCAAAAUGUUCUUGUUCACUCCUAGUGACCCAGUGAGUCGACUUACAGAGCUGGUGAAAGGUAACGCAGGCUGAAGCAAUUUUUACAAAUGAUAUGCAGCAGUUCAUAAAUCGGAAUGACCUGAGGAGGAAAACAAAACAACAAACAACAAAAACAAACAAACAGGAAAUGAUCACUGGUGAACUUUGGAAAUGACACAGUAAUUGAAGGAAGACAGACAAGUAGUAGUGAAGAAAAAGGAUUACUGCCACUGCACUAUUCAAUCUGUCAAGGCAGAUUGCACCAGCAAAUAAAAUGUAUUUUAUUAUGGCUCAAGAAAAAGACAGUCGACACUGUGAUUCCUGGAGAGACCGGAGAGGGGAAGAAACUGAGCUGGAUCCCAGAGGAAGACACAAGUCAUCCUUCAUCCCUGCAUGAAGACGGAAAUCAGGGAAGGCAAAAAGUUAGUGAGGGGAAGAGACAACAGACAGAAUGGAGCAGUGAGACCCACCUAAUACAAUUUGUGACUACACUUGGAAAUGAGAUGAGGUUUUGGAACUAAUUUCCUACAGUCUAACUUGCAUGUGAAAUCUGAAGUAAGGGUUAGUGCACACUCUAGCAAGAAUUUACAUGUAUGUAAAAAAAAAAUCAGCACACCUUUGCACAGUUACCACAAUGAAUGAGUACUAACAACAUCCUUCCUUGGCUAAAAGCUGGUGUCACAUUUUGAGGAUACAAUUGGAAGAAAUGGACAUAAGUAGCGAGUACUGUCUUUCACUGCUGCUCUGCUCCUGUGAUCUAUAAAUAAAGAGAACUUUAACCUUUUGUAAGCUCA
RNAcentral lists this long non-coding RNA (1123 nucleotides) under Anas platyrhynchos platyrhynchos (common mallard). Its description in RNAcentral is "lncRNA (ENSAPLG00000021830.1)". Lineage: Eukaryota; Metazoa; Chordata; Aves; Anseriformes; Anatidae. The record is from RNAcentral.